CCGGUGCUCGGUGCGCGAGUCACCGGCUCAGUGCGGACUUCCCAGGUGUCGCAGCGAGACCGUCCGCACCGACCCGGGCCGGAGACUAGGAUCCAAGCUGCAGCCACCAGCACUAGAGAAAGAUGAAAGCAGUCGCGGCCGGAUCCCGCUGUGGGAAGUGGCCGUUCGUUCUGGCUUCGAGGACCUUUCGUUGAUUGUUGAACAUAAGAUUCUCGGGCGGAAAGGGCUGGCCGGGGCACCUCGCAGGGGGAAGCGAGAAGAAAGGCUCCGGGGGUGCGGUUUAGCCCGUGCGGGAGGGAGGUGGGUCUUGGAGCCGCGCAGAGGGGUGGUGGCCGCCACAUGACAAGGCGCACUAAUGAGCAGCACUGGACACGUUUACGAGGGUAGAAUCGUACUUACGUGGCCAUUUAAAACAACAACAACGCAAAACCCGGGCUGUGCGAAAGGAAGGGUCUCAUCAGCCAGGGGUGUCUGCCUGGCCCUGGGCGCCAGCCCCGGGGUAAUGGGGAAGGCAGGCCUGGGCGGGCUCGCUGACCUUGGGUUUCUCGCAGCACCAAGGCUCUGAGGUGCUCUGAAGGGCCCGUCGCGCGUUCCUUUAGGGCAGCCUGGCCUUGCCCCUCUGCUCCUGUCUGCAGCGAGGAUACCUUUGUCUGCGGACCCCUUGCCCUCCAGCUCCUAACCUGCCAUUGUGGACCCCACUUGUUUCCCCUUCUCCUUGUCCUCAUCUCCUCUCCACACUGGGCUCUUGGGAGGUUACUCUCUCCUCCCAGAGGGAUCCGUGUAAAUGGCACCACCUCUGUGCAGGCAUUUGGAGCCAUCAGCCUGGCUAAGGACACCAUCAUCUCUCCUCCGGACGACUGACCAGGAGCUCUCUGAGUCUCUGUCUCAUCCAGUCCACUCUCCAUACAGCACCAAGAGAGGAAGGGAGAGAUAGAGAGCCAGAAACAUCGAUGAGAGAGAAACAUCGAU
Molecule: long non-coding RNA, 969 nt
Organism: Myotis lucifugus (little brown bat)
Lineage: Eukaryota; Metazoa; Chordata; Mammalia; Chiroptera; Vespertilionidae
Exons: 3
Source: RefSeq, a predicted model, not a curated record